This 501-nucleotide ribosomal RNA is filed under the name uncultured bacterium. RNAcentral describes it as "bacterial SSU rRNA". It matches the Rfam family "Bacterial small subunit ribosomal RNA", at positions 28 to 527 of the family's 1533-position model. The record is from RNAcentral.
GAUGAACGCUGGCGGCGUGCUUAACACAUGCAAGUCGAAACGGAGAAAGGGUAGCUUGCUAUCUUUUCUUAGUGGCGGACGGGUGAGUAACGCGUGGGUAACCUGCCCUUUGCAGGGGGAUAACAGUGAGAAAUCGCUGCUAAAUACCGCAUACCAACUUUCUUUCGCAUGAAGGAAGUUUGAAAGAUUUAUCGGCAAAGGAUGGACCCGCGUUGGAUUAGCUAAGUUGGUGAGAUAACAGCCCACCAAGGCAACGAUCCAUAGCCGGCCUGAGAGGGUGAACGGCCACACUGGGACUGAGACACGGCCCAGACUCCUACGGGAGGCAGCAGUGGGGAAUAUUGCACAAUGGGCGAAAGCCUGAUGCAGCGACGCCGCGUGAAGGAUGAAGGUCUUCGGAUUGUAAACUUCUAUCAGCAGGGAAGAAAGGGCUUAUAGCCUAAUGACGGUACCUGACUAAGAAGCCCCGGCUAACACGUGCCAGCAGCCGCGGUAAAGACG